RNAcentral lists this long non-coding RNA (1374 nucleotides) under Mus musculus (house mouse). Its description in RNAcentral is "long non-coding RNA chr14:24446554-24447928". Lineage: Eukaryota; Metazoa; Chordata; Mammalia; Rodentia; Muridae. The record is from RNAcentral.
AGACAGUGCUGAUGGCAUGGCCUUUACUCCCUACUAAGGAGUAUGUCUCCCUGAACUGACAAGAAGCUGAGGUGCCCUUCAGCUCAGUUUCAAGUGAGCAUCUCCUGGACCAGGGGAAGCCAUUGAGCACUUCCUCCUUCCAAAGCCAGAGAUUUCCUCUUGGCUUAAUUGGGAACAUCUUAGCUCUUCCAGAGUGGGGAACUGAGUGUUUAUUUUCAAACCCUGACCAGAAAUAUCUCGUUCCUCUCUCAAACUACCCCCAUUUGUCAAUAUCAGCAAUAGUCCUGAGAAGUGACACUAGGAUGGAUGUGGAGGAGGGAAGAUCACCCACCUCAUCAUGUACAGGUGCUUUAAAACACAUCCAGGAACAGCCUGCAGGGCUGGCUGCAAACUGGGAUGUGGAUUAGCGGGAACAAGUAUAGGAGCCAUGUGCUCAGCCUUUGAAAUUGCUCCAAGACAUCUUCCAAGAUAGAGAAGGAAGCCAUCAGAGUGCUGGCUACACUUUGAUGAACUGUUGGCAGAGGAAACUGAAAGAGUGGUCCCAUCGGGAGAAAAGGCCCUAGACUGAAUGUGGUGGUCUCCUCUCUGCACCAAAGAUACCAAAGCAGGACUGGUGACAGGCCUUUGUGACUUACACAGAGAGCAAUGCAACACGAUUGCGGGUGGUAAGAAGACAAUAGAUGUAGAUAUACUUGAGUUGACAGAGUGACUGCCUGGCAUAUAUGAAGCCCAGAGCUGACUAGAGCUGUCCUUGCUGCCCUUGGCAGUCCCUCUUGUAAUACUAGCUCGGGUGAAGAGGAAGCAGGAUGAUCUAAGCUCAAGGUGAACCUGCAAAGCCCGGCUGAGGACACCUUGGGAUCCAUGAGAACCUGUCUCAGUAAUACAAAACCGAAGUACACUACCCCAAAGCCUCACCUGCCAAACCUUUUGCGUUGAGAAGAACUUGGGGGAAAGAAUUGGGAACUCAGAGGGGAUAAGGAAUCCACAAAAAGACCAACAGAGUCAAAUAACCUAAAACCUUGGGGGCCCCAGGGACUGAAUCUUCAACCAAGCAGCAAAUAUGGACUGGAUCUAGGUCCCUUCCUGCACCCCAACACAAAGGUAGCAGCUGUGCAGCUUGGUCUUCAUGUGGGAAGCCCCAGCAGCUAGAGUGGGGGAUUAUUCUGACUCUGCUGCCUAUGUGUGGAUCCUUUUGUCCUGCUUGGCCUGCUUUGUGUGGCCUCAGUGAGAGAGGAUGUGCCUAGUCCUGCAGUUACUUGAGGUGCCAGGUAAGCUGGUACACAGCAAGGAUUUCCCUCUACUCAAUGACAAAGCAGGGCAGAGGUCUGUGAUUGUGAUAUAAUGUGAUUAAAUAAAUUUGGAAAAAGUCAAAAG